RNAcentral lists this ribosomal RNA (471 nucleotides) under Triticum aestivum (bread wheat). RNAcentral's name for it is "partial small subunit ribosomal RNA". Lineage: Eukaryota; Viridiplantae; Streptophyta; Magnoliopsida; Poales; Poaceae. The record is from RNAcentral.
AUGGCUGAGAUGGUCACGUCUGCCAUGGUUCGGGAAGCAGUUAGCCGGAUUAUUUCGGGGAGAUCUUUGAUUUAUCAUGUGUUGCAUCCGGGAGGCCAGUUUCACGUAUUCGACAUACGGCCAAUGGGGUUCGACGAGAGAGGGUUGGAGGUCAUCCUAUCCUUCGUGUAUCAAGAUUGCAAGGUGCCCAAGAACAGUUUCCGCCUCGGGUUCAUGUUGCGUGUUUCCGAGAGUACAAACAUAAUCAGAACUUCAAUCAAGUGCUUGCGACAGCGUCAAAUCUCAGUAUCCGAGUACAGUUGUCAAUUGCAGAGAUCAACCGCAGCAACUGGUAAUGCUGACACAUCUACUUCUCCGGAGAUUUUCCCACCUUUGAAGCUAGUGAUUCUAUUAAUGCCUCAUCACCCAUUGGAGGAUCCUAAGUCCACAAGCGAGGACUCUGCGAUAGAGGCGAUCGAUGGAGAGAAGUAA